ACACAUGCAAGUCGAACGAGAAUCUACUGAAGGAGGAUUCGUCCAACGGAAGUAGAGGAAAGUGGCGGACGGGUGAGUAACGCGUGAGGAACCUGCCUUGAAGAGGGGGACAACAGUUGGAAACGACUGCUAAUACCGCAUGAUGCAUAGGGGUCGCAUGAUCUUUAUGCCAAAGAUUUAUCGCUUCAAGAUGGCCUCGCGUCUGAUUAGCUGGUUGGCGGGGUAACGGCCCACCAAGGCGACGAUCAGUAGCCGGACUGAGAGGUUGAACGGCCACAUUGGGACUGAGAUACGGCCCAGACUCCUACGGGAGGCAGCAGUGGGGAAUAUUGGGCAAUGGGCGCAAGCCUGACCCAGCAACGCCGCGUGAAGGAAGAAGGCUUUCGGGUUGUAAACUUCUUUUAAGAGGGAAGAGCAGAAGACGGUACCUCUAGAAUAAGCCACGGCUAACUACGUGCCAGCAGCCGCGGUAAUACGUAGGUGGCAAGCGUUGUCCGGAUUUACUGGGUGUAAAGGGCGUGCAGCCGGGUCUGCAAGUCAGAUGUGAAAUCCAUGGGCUCAACCCAUGAACUGCAUUUGAAACUGUAGAUCUUGAGUGUCGGAGGGGCAAUCGGAAUUCCUAGUGUAGCGGUGAAAUGCGUAGAUAUUAGGAGGAACACCAGUGGCGAAGGCGGAUUGCUGGACGAUAACUGACGGUGAGGCGCGAAAGUGUGGGGAGCAAACAGGAUUAGAUACCCUGGUAGUCCACACUGUAAACGAUGAAUACUAGGUGUACGGGGACUGACCCCCUGCGUGCCGCAGUAAACACAAUAAGUAUUCCACCUGGGGAGUACGAUCGCA
RNAcentral lists this ribosomal RNA (840 nucleotides) under uncultured bacterium. RNAcentral describes it as "bacterial SSU rRNA". It matches the Rfam family "Bacterial small subunit ribosomal RNA", at positions 51 to 890 of the family's 1533-position model. The record is from RNAcentral.